Fundulus heteroclitus (mummichog) is the source of this 734-nucleotide long non-coding RNA. RefSeq lists it as uncharacterized. NCBI's taxonomy places the organism in Eukaryota, Metazoa, Chordata, Actinopteri, Cyprinodontiformes, Fundulidae. The transcript is spliced from 4 exons. The record is from RefSeq and is a predicted model, not a curated record.
CUGCACUGUGCCCGGGUUCAUUUAGGGGGCGCCAGUGUAUAAUGCGCGCAGACCGAGCGGCUCAGAUGUGGAUGGAGAGGCGAGCUGCUGGAACAGCUUGGCUGCAUCAAAUACAGAACAGAAUGACCUUUGAUUUGUGAAUCAGCAGGGAAAACUGAGAUGAUGCAGCAGCAAAGUGGGAAACCAGUAAACCCAAUUCUGAACAAAAACGGCCAUAAAGAUGCAAAAAAAUAAUUGGAACUGCAAAGUAGAGCAACAAUGGGAGAGGCAGGGGGUCAUGCAUGGAGAGCGCAUCAUUGCUGAGGAGGGAUGCUGGUCAGGUUAAUGCCUCCUCCUGCCUCUGGCCAUCGGCACUGGGUGGAGCGGACAUCAGACAGAGACGGCCUUCCUUCCUGCUGAGCUUCGCCACACUCUGUGUAGGACUGCAGUCCUCUUGACGACUUAUGCGUCGGUCACACUGGCUGCACUUUCUCUAUGGCCUGAGAUGGCAGCGCACUAAAGGCAAAUUUGAGCUCAGAUCAUCCGGAGCAUCCUGCCACGGACCGAGCGAUCAGGAGUGCACUCCAAAAUUUUGGGCGAGGGGAAUAAAAUGUGCACACAAUACAAACCCACGGCGGAUCAAACACAGUUGUCACAGUUUGCUGAGAGCUCCGGGUUUCUGGCCUCACACUCUGUGUUUGGGAAGAAAUUUGGACGUCUUUCUCUAAUAUUCUUGGUGUUUAUAUCGUGUUUCU